GGUAGAAUUCCAGGUGUAGCGGUGAAAUGCGUAGAGAUCUGGAGGAAUACCGGUGGCGAAGGCGGCCCCCUGGACGAAGACUGACGCUCAGGUGCGAAAGCGUGGGGAGCAAACAGGAUUAGAUACCCUGGUAGUCCACGCCGUAAACGAUGUCGACUUGGAGGUUGUGCCCUUGAGGCGUGGCUUCCGGAGCUAACGCGUUAAGUCGACCGCCUGGGGAGUACGGCCGCAAGGUUAAAACUCAAAUGAAUUGACGGGGGCCCGCACAAGCGGUGGAGCAUGUGGUUUAAUUCGAUGCAACGCGAAGAACCUUACCUGGUCUUGACAUCCACGGAAGUUUUCAGAGAUGAGAAUGUGCCUUCGGGAACCGUGAGACAGGUGCUGCAUGGCUGUCGUCAGCUCGUGUUGUGAAAUGUUGGGUUAAGUCCCGCAACGAGCGCAACCC
Molecule: ribosomal RNA, 445 nt
Filed under: Escherichia albertii
Lineage: Bacteria; Pseudomonadati; Pseudomonadota; Gammaproteobacteria; Enterobacterales; Enterobacteriaceae
Description: bacterial SSU rRNA
Rfam family: Bacterial small subunit ribosomal RNA
Source: RNAcentral